UACGUAGGGUGCAAGCGUUGUCCGGAAUUAUUGGGCGUAAAGGGCUCGUAGGCGGUCCAUCGCGUCGGGAGUGAAAAGCUGGGGCUUAACCCCAGUCCUGCUUCCGAUACGGGUGGACUAGAGGUAGGUAGGGGAGAUCGGAAUUCCUGGUGUAGCGGUGAAAUGCACAGAUAUCAGGAGGAACACCGGUGGCGAAGGCGGAUCUCUGGGCCUUACCUGACGCUGAGGAGCGAAAGCAUGGGGAGCAAACAGG
RNAcentral lists this ribosomal RNA (253 nucleotides) under uncultured bacterium. RNAcentral describes it as "partial 16S ribosomal RNA". It matches the Rfam family "Bacterial small subunit ribosomal RNA", at positions 524 to 776 of the family's 1533-position model. The record is from RNAcentral.